GACCCAGGUGCCGCUUCCUCUCGCCGCCGAGGGUCAGGAGCCCGUGAGCGCGACCCUCCCCUGGCCCGGCCUGGCCCGGCCUGGCCAGUCCCCGCGGUCUCUGCCCGGGCUGACGCCCAGGACUGUGGUCGACGAGAAGCCCCAACAGCAUGUCGUGGCCCCUCGGCCUCGGCUUUCAAAUGCAAGUCUGACAUAAAAGACAGAUCACAGCAUCACCAACAGCAAUGGCUAAGAUGUACAGUGUAUACACUUCCCAAGACCUUCACAGGCAUCCUUUCCUGCAAGCCUGGUCACCACCCUCUGCUGCAGGCUCCCUUCCCAUCCCACUGAGCCUGUGUGCCUCUGGCUCAUACAGAGCCAGUGUGCCUCUGGCCGGCCUGAGUAGGGAGAAUGCAGUGGCCUUUCCUGAACCCUUGAGUUCUCACGGAGCCCUCUCUGGCUAGGGAGGAGGAGAAGCCUUCUAGGGAAUGAGGAGAAGCAGCCCCCUGCAUCCUGCUCCUGCACUUUUCCUUCCUUCCAGCAUCCUUCGCCACUGCAUCUCCACCCUUUGUGCCCAUAAACUGUGGGUCCUGUUGUCUCUGGGCCACUUUGGCCUCCCCUUCCUCAGCACAUCUCCUGGGGAAGCACGGCUAUCUGCCUUGGGAUGUAGCCACGAACCUCCUCCUUGGAGCCAAUCCUCCUGAAUGUUUGAACUGAGCUUCCAGGCAGCAGAAUGUUCCCUCCUGCUUCCUGCCGCCCCUGCGGUCCUGCCCACUCCC
RNAcentral lists this small RNA (758 nucleotides) under Pan troglodytes (chimpanzee). RNAcentral describes it as "processed transcript". Lineage: Eukaryota; Metazoa; Chordata; Mammalia; Primates; Hominidae. The record is from RNAcentral.